This 73-nucleotide transfer RNA is filed under the name Planctomycetota bacterium. Its description in RNAcentral is "tRNA-Glu". It matches the Rfam family "tRNA". Rfam says of the family: Transfer RNA (tRNA) molecules are approximately 80 nucleotides in length. Their secondary structure includes four short double-helical elements and three loops (D, anti-codon, and T loops). Further hydrogen bonds mediate the characteristic L-shaped molecular structure. tRNAs have two regions of fundamental functional importance: the anti-codon, which is responsible for specific mRNA codon recognition, and the 3' end, to which the tRNAs corresponding amino acid is attached (by aminoacyl-tRNA synthetases). tRNAs cope with the degeneracy of the genetic code in two manners: having more than one tRNA (with a specific anti-codon) for a particular amino acid; and 'wobble' base-pairing, i.e. permitting non-standard base-pairing at the 3rd anti-codon position. The record is from RNAcentral. Lineage: Bacteria; Pseudomonadati; Planctomycetota. RNAcentral also lists the same sequence under 1 other name.
GCCCCCAUCGUCUAGAGGCCUAGGACGUAGCCCUCUCAAGGCUAAGACAGGGGUUCAAAUCCCCUUGGGGGUA